Long non-coding RNA from Prunus persica (peach), 856 nucleotides. RefSeq lists it as uncharacterized. Lineage: Eukaryota; Viridiplantae; Streptophyta; Magnoliopsida; Rosales; Rosaceae. The transcript is spliced from 4 exons. The record is from RefSeq and is a predicted model, not a curated record.
CUUCCUGCCCCAACUUUACCAAAAGAAAAUUCUCUUCUCAGUGCUCGCAAAUCCUCUUCGCCGGUUCAACUCGGCCGACUAGGUCAGCCCCAACCUUCUCUCCUUCUUCUCCUCCACCACCGUCUUCUCCGGUCGCGGCUUCUACAAGCUCUACGUGGGUCCUUUCAAAAAAAAUUUACACCGACAAGCUCAGCUUCGUUACUAAAUUAGGGUUAGGCCCUAAUUUACAGUUAUUUUUACAGGCAAUCUUCUUAGCAUGUCAAAAUUUCUGGCUUUGGAUUUGGAGUAAAAAAUUUAUUACCUUUGCAAAAGAGUUCUGUCCAUGAACUCCUAGACCUAACUAGAAAGCAAUGACCUUUCAGUUUUUGGAAACAGUUGAGUUUUUCCAGCUAGGAAAGGCAUUGGUGGUGCAUAUAUCUCACCAAUCCCGUGGACGUGAUCAAAACAAGAUUGCAAGUGCAGGGAUCAACCUUAAGGUGCAACGGUCCGUUAGAUCAAUGUGUAGCAUAAUGGAUGGCUGAAGGUGCACAUAGCAUGAUGCUCAGAGGUAGCAUUCCCAAAAUUACAUGGUAUAUUCUAGCUCCAGCUCCUGCGUUUAUGGCUGUGAAAUUUCUCAGGGACCAUUUCAGAUUUUCAAUGGAGGAUUGAGCAAUGAUAACAUGCAACAAGUUGCCAGCAUGUCAGUAGAAGUUUUUACAAAGGGGAGCGAUAGUAACUUAAACUGAAAUUUUUUCCCACCCUGUCCAGCUUGGGGCAUUUCCAAUGUAACCAAAGUAUUAAUUUGGUCGGUGUUUAGUAAUAUUUUCAUGUAAAAUAUGUAUAUGAGCGCAAUGAGAUUAAAGGGAGGUUUGUUUUU